UGGGGGAUAUUGCACAAUGGGCGAAAGCCUGAUGCAGCGACGCCGCGUGGGGGAUGAAGGCCUUCGGGUUGUAAACUUCUUUUGCUCUGAACAAGGCAUGCCUUUGGGGUGUGUUGAGUGUAGGGGUUGAUUAGCGCCGGCUAACUACGUGCCAGCAGCCGCGGUAAUACGUAGGGCGCGAGCGUUGUCCGGAAUUAUUGGGCGUAAAGGGCUUGUAGGUGGCUGGUUGCGUCUGUCGUGAAAGCUCAUGGCUUAACUGUGGGUUUGCGGUGGGUACGGGUUGGCUUGAGUGCAGUAGGGGAGGCUGGAAUUCCUGGUGUAGCGGUGGAAUGCGCAGAUAUCAGGAGGAAUACCGGUGGCGAAGGCGGGUCUCUGGGCUGUUACUGACGCUGAGGAGCGAAAGCGUGGGGAGCGAACAGG
Molecule: ribosomal RNA, 420 nt
Filed under: Fusobacteriota bacterium
Lineage: Bacteria; Fusobacteriati; Fusobacteriota
Description: Fusobacteria bacterium partial 16S ribosomal RNA
Rfam family: Bacterial small subunit ribosomal RNA
Source: RNAcentral